NCUAAUAUGGCAGAUUAGUGCAAUGA
RNAcentral lists this transfer RNA (26 nucleotides) under Zabrus galicianus. Its description in RNAcentral is "partial tRNA-Leu". The record is from RNAcentral. Lineage: Eukaryota; Metazoa; Arthropoda; Insecta; Coleoptera; Carabidae.